CCUCUGCCCUUCAGCCUCCUCCUCCUCCUCCUCCUCCUCCUCCUCCUCCGGUCCGGCCCGGGGGGCCGCAGGGGUACGCCCGGAUCGAUUUCCACAGGAGCGGGGAGCGGCCCGGCCGGCGGAGAGACUGCUGAUCUCUCACCGCCUCGCCCCGUGGCAGCCCCAUGCAGAUAAAGUGACCUCGCUUUAUGGAUGGUGGGGGAAUUGUUUCUCAUCUCCUUUCCACCUCUAUGUGCCUUCACCACCCCCCCACAACCAAAGCCCUUCACUCGCUCGGUUGCUGCUGCCCUUCCUAGGAGACUUCCCUCCAAAGUACAAUAGGAGGUGGGGAGGUGGAGACCUCUCCCCCUUCCCCCAACUCACACCUGAGACAGCUUGGCCCUCGGUUUCCCAGCACCUCUGCCUCUAGGGAAGUGGGGGAUUGAAGAUGGAUCACAGCCUGCCCAGCCUUGGAUCCUGGGACUACUUGGAGAAAGUGAUAUUACGCCAUUUUGACGCGUUCCCUCGCCCAUUGUUAGGUAGGGAUUGUCUCCAUCUGUUGUCAAAUUGUACUUUUCAAGCACUUAAGUACAGUGCUCUGCACGGAGUAAGCACUUAAUACAAUUGUACUAAUACCAAAUUCAGCCAUCCUGACCUUAAGUAGAGAAGAGGGCAUCUUGGGGAAAAUCCCCCUCCCUCCUCUCAGUGCCCAGAGAACAUGAACCCUACCCCCACCUGAGUGGGAAGCUGAUAUUUCACAGGUUAAACCUCUCCUCUUUCCUGGGAGAAGCAAGAGGGCCUUGACCUCCUCCAUUGCCCAACCCCAAAAAAAACCAAACCAAAAAACCAACUCAGCAGGGGCAGACUGCAAAAGGAGAUUGCAUCCCCCACUAAUAAACAGUCAACUGGUCAAACUG
Ornithorhynchus anatinus (platypus) is the source of this 896-nucleotide long non-coding RNA. RefSeq lists it as uncharacterized. NCBI's taxonomy places the organism in Eukaryota, Metazoa, Chordata, Mammalia, Monotremata, Ornithorhynchidae. The record is from RefSeq and is a predicted model, not a curated record. The transcript has 2 exons.